Molecule: unclassified non-coding RNA, 261 nt
Filed under: Penicillium catalonicum
Lineage: Eukaryota; Fungi; Ascomycota; Eurotiomycetes; Eurotiales; Aspergillaceae
Description: sequence contains 5.8S rRNA gene
Rfam family: 5.8S ribosomal RNA (bases 1-53)
Source: RNAcentral
GAACGCACAUUGCGCCCCCUGGUAUUCCAGGGGGCAUGCCUGUCCGAGCGUCAUUGCUGCCCUCAAGCACGGCUUGUGUGUUGGGCCCCCGUCCCCCCCUCCCGGGGGACGGGCCCGAAAGGCAGCGGCGGCACCGCGUCCGGUCCUCGAGCGUAUGGGGCUUUGUCACCCGCUCUGUAGGCCCGGCCGGCGCCUGCCGACCACCAUCAAUCUUUUUUCAGGUUGACCUCGGAUCAGGUAGGGAUACCCGCUGAACUUAAG